Molecule: long non-coding RNA, 633 nt
Filed under: Pongo abelii (Sumatran orangutan)
Lineage: Eukaryota; Metazoa; Chordata; Mammalia; Primates; Hominidae
Description: lincRNA
Source: RNAcentral
GAGACAGAUAAGGUCUGGAUCAGAAAUAAGGCAAUGAGGGAUGAAAAGAAAUGGUUUGGCAAGAAUUUGCGACUGAUUAGAUUAAGAAAAGAGAGGCAAAUAGGCUAGAAGGAGGAAUCUGAGGUGAUUCCAAGAUUUUAGACUGUCGAAGAGCUGGAAAAAAAGAGGAAGUCCAAAGGGGGAUCUGAGAUGCAGUUGACUUUAGAAAUUAGAGAUACCCAACAGAAAGUUAAAGGUCAGGACUGAAGCUCGAAGCAAAGGUCAGGACUGCAAAUAUAUGGCUGAAUGUCUAUCACAUAAAAGUCUGUAGAGAACUGAGUACACAGGAGUGAACCUUGGGAGGGAAACAUCAGUGCAAGUCAAAUAGAAUUAAGUAAGCCAACUAUAAUCCUAUUUUUGGCCUCCCAUAAUUUGAUAUAAUUUUAUUUCUUUGUACAAUGUGGUCUACAUUUUCAGUUAUGUGUGUAAGAAUUAGUUGUUAGUGUAUAAACCAUCUUCACUAUGCUAGUGAGUCAGCUCUGUGUAGGACAAGAUGAACUGGUUUUCAAUAUUUUAAUAUCCCUUGUUUCUUCAAGGAGAUCAGGGAUUAUACACAUUUCAAAUUCUAAAUAAAAGAAUGUUCUUUAUUUCUUA